Carassius gibelio (silver crucian carp) is the source of this 834-nucleotide long non-coding RNA. RefSeq lists it as uncharacterized. Lineage: Eukaryota; Metazoa; Chordata; Actinopteri; Cypriniformes; Cyprinidae. The transcript has 3 exons. The record is from RefSeq and is a predicted model, not a curated record.
CAAACUUUGUGUGUGUCAUUGAAAAGUCAAACAGAGUACACCAAAUUGAUUUCAUAACAGUGCCACCUAUUGGUCAAACUUUAUAAGCCAAGUAAUCAUGCUACUAGAGGUGGUAUUAUGAUUUUUUUUUUGCCAUUUCAAUUACAAUAAUUCCAAAAUUACUGUUAUUGCUCAUUAAUGUAUUUGGUGUGAUGCUUCAUGCCAUGCUUAGCUCCUACAUUUGCCGUUGGAGUGCUUGGCCCCGUAAUUGCUGCUUGCAGCUAUAUUUAGGGGCCAAGCACCGAAGGUGCGAAGGCACCUAUUGUGUUUGUUGGCGUUAUUAUUCUUCUUCUUCCACCCCAAGUCUAUGGUAGCCCAUAGAACCGAUUGCGGGAAAGUUGUAUAAUUUGGCACACUAAUAGAGGACUGUCUGAACAUUAACCGUAGCAAAUUUGAAGUCUCUAACUCAAACUCUCUAGCGCCACCAAUUGUCUAAACUUUCAAAAACUUGAUGCUAAUAACUCUUGAACCGUAAGCCACAAAAUGAAAAUUCUUUUUUCCUGUGAUUCCUUGGCUCAUGCCGAGUCGAAUGGACACCGAAAUUCAAAAAUCGCAAGGCUUAGUUUUUUCGCUAUCGUCAAUUGUUCGUAAAACCUACUUUUUCGAACUCGUCCUAGGCCGUUGCACCGAUUGUCACGAAAAUUGAAUCAGAUAAUCUUCAGACCAUGCUGACAAAAAGUUAUGGAAUUCAAGUUGAUUUCUCAAACCGUUUCCGAAUAGCUCAUGAACGAAUUCUUUGAAAAGCACGCAAACGUGAACGUGAGGCUAUAUCUCCGCAACGGUUUGGCCUAUUGA